Molecule: ribosomal RNA, 428 nt
Filed under: Bacteroidota bacterium
Lineage: Bacteria; Pseudomonadati; Bacteroidota
Description: Bacteroidetes bacterium partial 16S ribosomal RNA
Rfam family: Bacterial small subunit ribosomal RNA
Source: RNAcentral
UAGGGAAUCUUCCGCAAUGGACGCAAGUCUGACGGAGCAACGCCGCGUGAGUGAAGAAGGAUUUCGGUUCGUAAAACUCUGUUGUUAGAGAAGAACAGCGCAUAGAGUAACUGUUAUGCGUGUGACGGUAUCUAACCAGAAAGCCACGGCUAACUACGUGCCAGCAGCCGCGGUAAUACGUAGGUGGCAAGCGUUGUCCGGAUUUAUUGGGCGUAAAGCGAGCGCAGGCGGUCAAUUAAGUCUGAUGUGAAAGCCCCCGCUCAACCGGGGAGGGUCAUUGGAAACUGGUUGACUUGAGUGCAGAAGAGGAGAGUGGAAUUCCAUGUGUAGCGGUGAAAUGCGUAGAUAUAUGGAGGAACACCAGUGGCGAAGGCGACUCUCUGGUCUGUAACUGACGCUGAGGCUCGAAAGCGUGGGUAGCAAACAGG